Molecule: ribosomal RNA, 462 nt
Filed under: uncultured bacterium
Lineage: Bacteria
Description: partial 16S ribosomal RNA
Rfam family: Bacterial small subunit ribosomal RNA
Source: RNAcentral
GAUGAACGCUGACAGCAUGCUUAACACAUGCCAGUCUUUGGCGAAGCUGUGCUUGCACAGCCUAGCCAAGGCGGACGGGUGAGUAACGCGUAAGGAACUUGCCCUGCAGUCAGGGAUAACAGACGGAAACGACUGAUAAGACCUGGUAAAGUCAGGCGGACUCAUGUCCAGCCUGAUGAAAAGAGAUGCUGCAGGAGAGCCUUGCGUCCUAUUAGCUUGUUGGUGGGGUAACGGCCCACCAAGGCGAUGAUAGGUAGCCGGCCUGAGAGGGUGGACGGCCACAAGGGGACUGAGAUACGGCGCCUACUCCUACGGGAGGCAGCAGUGGGGAAUAUUGGAGAAUGGGGGCAACACUGAUCCAGCAAUUCGGUGUGCACGAUGAAGGGUUUCGGAUUGUAAAGUGCUUUCUGCAGGGAAGAAAAAAUGACGGUACCUGCAGAAGAAGCGACGGCUAAAUACGUG